RNAcentral lists this unclassified non-coding RNA (880 nucleotides) under Hevea brasiliensis (rubber tree). The record is from RNAcentral. Lineage: Eukaryota; Viridiplantae; Streptophyta; Magnoliopsida; Malpighiales; Euphorbiaceae.
GGGAAACCCAGCCCGACCCAACUCAAACCUCUAGGCAUAGCUAGCGCCCACUCUCCAGCCUCCAGUGAAAGAAAAAGAAAAAGGUUUGAGAGAGACCGAGAAAGAUUAGAUGGGGUCCAUGGCGAAAGAGAGAAUUUGCACAAUUAUCGUCACAGUGGCGUUAGAAUGACAGUCACUGCCAAGUGCCACCAAUCGGAACAUGUAAAAAGAGGGAGGAAAGUAUCAUAAAACCCCACCUACGCACGCCUUGUAUCUUCGCUACACGCAACCGCAACCUACGGCCGCCCUGACCUCGAAGAUCGGGAGCUGCUCCUUCGCCCCCUCUCCGCACGUAAUUCUCUGCCUUGCUCGACCCAAAAAGAGAAAUAAAAAGGGAAAAACUUUGUAUAAAAAGAGAACAAACUCCGAUCCUCACUGCAUUUUCCCUUUAUUUAUUAUCUCUCUGCCAGCUUAUGGAUUUCAGGUUUAGCCUUAGAAUGUAAAGGAUAUGGAGCGCUUAAUGUUACCCUAGUUGACAAAACUGGCUGAGCAGUGAGCAGGUCCCUUCAAGGACAUGUGUAAAUAGUUGCCUACAACUGACCUGGUAGAUGACCGCGUUAUUCUGUUCCUGAUGGGGUGUACAUAAAUCGAUUCCAUGAUUUUGAGUACCACCUUCUUACGCACAUUUUGUUUAACUGUUUUCUGGCGAAUCAUAUUGGGAAAACAGAUAUGAAUACUUAUCAGGAUGUUUAAAAUCUCUUUUUAUUUAGCCUAUUUUCUACCUUGUUCAGUAUUUUCUACCUUGUAAAUCAAGAAUUGUUUCACAAUCCUUGUGUCACACUGCGUCAUCUUUGAAAGUCAUUUGUGCAUUAUUCCUAGAUAUCAUUUAUUAGCCUUUAAU